GGAGAAGCAAAGUGAUGAGCUUUGCUGGCUGGAGUCCCAAAGAGGCACAUGUAUGCGUGUGUGCGUGCCUGUGUCUGACUGCGCAUGUGUGUCUGGAGUAUGAAUGUGUAUGAUGGUGAUAGGGACUAAUUGUGUGCCUUCUGUUGGACGAUGACAGUCAAACUGAUAAGAUCUGAUUGCUUC
Molecule: small nucleolar RNA, 183 nt
Organism: Sorex araneus (European shrew)
Lineage: Eukaryota; Metazoa; Chordata; Mammalia; Eulipotyphla; Soricidae
Product: small nucleolar RNA ZL1
Exons: 1
Source: RefSeq, a predicted model, not a curated record